GACGAACGCGGCGGCGUGCCUAAUACAUGCAAGUCGAGCGGACAGAUGGGAGCUUGCUCCCUGAUGUUAGCGGCGGACGGGUGAGUAACACGUGGGUAACCUGCCUGUAAGACUGGGAUAACUCCGGGAAACCGGGGCUAAUACCGGAUGGUUGUUUGAACCGCAUGGUUCAAACAUAAAAGGUGGCUUCGGCUACCACUUACAGAUGGACCCGCGGCGCAUUAGCUAGUUGGUGAGGUAACGGCUCACCAAGGCAACGAUGCGUAGCCGACCUGAGAGGGCGAUCGGCCACACUGGGACUGAGACACGGCCCAGACUCCUACGGGAGGCAGCAGUAGGGAAUCUUCCGCAAUGGACGAAAGUCUGACGGAGCAACGCCGCGUGAGUGAUGAAGGUUUUCGGAUCGUAAAGCUCUGUUGUUAGGGAAGAACAAGUACCGUUCGA
RNAcentral lists this ribosomal RNA (444 nucleotides) under Bacillus subtilis. Its description in RNAcentral is "bacterial SSU rRNA". It matches the Rfam family "Bacterial small subunit ribosomal RNA", at positions 28 to 463 of the family's 1533-position model. Lineage: Bacteria; Bacillati; Bacillota; Bacilli; Caryophanales; Bacillaceae. The record is from RNAcentral.